CCUACGGGUGACUGCAGUGAGGAAUAUUGGUCAAUGGGCGGAAGCCUGAACCAGCCAAGUAGCGUGCAGGAUGACGGCCCUACGGGUUGUAAACUGCUUUUAUACGGGAAUAACGUGCCUUACGUGUAGGGCUUUGCAUGUACCGUAUGAAUAAGGAUCGGCUAACUCCGUGCCAGCAGCCGCGGUAAUACGGAAGGUCCGGGCGUUAUCCGGAUUUAUUGGGUUUAAAGGGAGCGUAGGCCGCAUGUCAAGCGUGCUGUGAAAUGUUCGGGCUCAACCCGGGCAUUGCAGGGCAAACUGGCGAUCUUGAGUCCGCUGAAGGCAGGCGGAAUUCGUCGUGUAGCGGUGAAAUGCUUAGAUAUGACGAAGAACCCCGAUUGCGAAGGCAGCUUGCUGCAGCGGAACUGACGCUGAUGCUCGAAAGCGCGGGUAUCGAACAGGAUUAGAUACCCGGGUAGUC
Molecule: ribosomal RNA, 460 nt
Filed under: uncultured bacterium
Lineage: Bacteria
Description: partial 16S ribosomal RNA
Rfam family: Bacterial small subunit ribosomal RNA
Source: RNAcentral